GAGCUCACUUUGACAGCACGUUUACUAAAAUUGGAACAAUACAAAGACCAUUAGAAUGGCUCCUGUGCAAAGAUAAAAUGCAGAUCCAUGAUGCAUUCUAUAUUUUU
Equus asinus (donkey) is the source of this 107-nucleotide small nuclear RNA. Lineage: Eukaryota; Metazoa; Chordata; Mammalia; Perissodactyla; Equidae. The record is from Ensembl.